UAAGGGGAGUACAGAGGGUUUAGCGGCGGUGGUUGGCGGAGCAUACGGAGGAGGCUGGGUGGAGCGGCAGCCGGGAGGGCGAGGGGUGAGGGUGUAGUGUCGAGGCCUCCGAUGGCCUAGGCGGCGUAGGUGGUAGGUGGGUAGGGAGAGGGCAGGGUAGGGAGAGAGAAGUGCGCCGAAGAGCUACGCGGUGGACGCAGCCGAUUAAGUGCGCCGCAGGCCGCUUAGGGCGGUGGCAUUUCGUGUCGAGCUCCGGGGGAGCGUAGUACCUGGGGGGGUUGGAGGGUGUGUGUGUGUUAGUCCGAUCCAGGCCGCGAGCGUCGGUGGUUUCUGGUGGCUGAUCGGAGGGGGAUACCGAUCCCAAAGCCCGCGGCCCGUAGCCGAGGCCGCGACCACCGGUACAGCAAAAGAAAAGGUGAACGAACGGGGACGUCAGUAGAGAACAAUGGAUCCAACGAGAAGCUUCUAUAGUACUAAAACAAAGAAAACAAACCUACCUAUCAUCGAAUAAGGGCUAACAUUAACAUCAAGACAAUAGCAACUUCUCUAACAAACCUUUAACGACGUGUGUUUGGACGAACGUGCAGAAGCCCCGUCGCUACUGCCGCUACAGACGAGAAACAGCGAAAGGGAGAAGGGUGACUUCACCUGUGACCAUUUCUAACCCUAUUUCAAGGUGGGCAGGGAUGAAUACUGACAAGAAAGAAGAAGACUGACAAGAACGUAUAUCUAGGAUAAAACAAAAGUAACUACCUUGUUACUCAAACAAAAAUGGGACACUCUUAUAGACUCAUUCCGGUUCUUAGACACACCAACUUAAGUACAACCUAAGUGUCUUUAUCACAUACUAAAAACAAAUAAUAAUAGUACAUGGGACACUAACAGGUUCACUCAUACUCUAAAUUAAGGCCAACACGUUCUAAACACGGAUUGAACUUGGUAGAAGCGUACAUAAAAGGUAACUAGUUCACAACUACUACACAACUAGGCAGCUCAACUCUAAAUCAAAAAAGUACUGGUACGACUACUAAACAAUUAGGACAGUUAUUGAACAACAGAAUAGGAACUAACAUGAGACUAUCUACACUUCACGUUCAUUCACGAGGGCAAAUGUGAAAACUGAUUUGGUUCCGAAAAAACGAUUCGAUUAAAAUAAGGUCAAAAGCACAUAAUGAGGAUUUUCAUAAAUAUUGUUAAAUAAGGACCUUAUAAAACAGCGAAACAACUAACAGAUAUACGUGUCGAUUUAGGACUUUCAUCUACAAGGCGACAAUUCGAGGUCGUUUAGAACAUAAAGUAGAUCGAUUUGAACUAAGUAAGAAGGGGGUGCCAAAAUUUGAAGUAUCGGACACGCUUGUUUAUUUAUAUGUAAACGUAACCCAACAUUAUCAGAAUCUACCUCGUAGACUUAAACUGUUAGUACGUCACAAAGAACGUUAAUUGACUCGUGAGCUGAAGUUACCACGAUAAAGUCCAAAGUCAGGUAACCGUUGUUUUCUUAAACAUACUGACUCUAGCUCAAUAUAUGUAACACUAUAUACGUAGGCUACUGGACCUAUGUUCUACGGUCACUGAACGACCUAAAGUGUAACGUGCACACUACAAAACACGUAGCUAUGAGUGUUGUGAUGUUCUUACGCUGUCUAACUGAUACCAAACCAUUUUUAAUCCUAUCAGAUUUACGUCACUUAGGGUAAAAAGUACGACGUAGAAAAGAAAACUUGUCAAAGACUUUCAUAACCUCACGGGUACAAGAAUAGUCAGAACAAAAGGAAAAGAGUUCUAAAUCCUAUUAAACAAAUUCUACCAAGCCGUUUUCACGUUGUGACGGAAAAUUAGAUACCAAAUUUCGAAACCUGACGAUGGAGUCUUUAUACAUAGCGGGUAUAAACUUGAGUAGGUUUGACAUGUUAAAAAGAACCUACUAACAUGGUAAGCCAAAGGAGAAAAUUUCAUCAAAACAAUAAACAACACUUAUACCCACCCACGCCGUUUCGCUCGGAAAUACAAGAUCAUACAUAUGAGAGGUCAAGUAAGUAGGACUACGUACACAUAUUGAUAGAUUGAUUGAGCCCCUAUUUAAGUAACUCGGUCUACAUUUCAACAAUUCCAUCAUUGAUCCUGUGUAACUCGCCCUCCUCAUAUAGACCGAGAAGAAAAUAAUUCAUCCUUACCUUGAACUAACUCGAAAUGAACACAACGUGACAAGAUAUCUACGUACUCUGUGGACAUUCAGACAUUGGAAAGAGGGAACCAAAACGUCGACGUGCGUGGUUGAGCUACGUCCCCCUGCGGUACCUCGUUCAGCUCAAGCACCUUGUUCAGUACCUGCUACGGUACCUUCUACUUACCCGUACAGCUAUUCCGUGAACACUUUUGAUUUCUAAACCAUCCCUCAGUGUUUUUGACGUGAUGAGGGUCGUUAUGUCUUUUUUGUUUCUACCGUACCGGAAGUUGGAAAUAAGUUUUCUAUAUACCUACUUAUAUACCCAAAUCACCGUUCAUAUGACGUUAACUACUGCAUCGUAGCGAUCGUUCUUACUUGCCCAGGCGCACUAUACGGUAGUGACAGGACAAUUGUGUCCAGAAGGACAUUAGUAAUUGGAAAUGGACUGGUUCUCCCUAGGUACACGUGGACUUAUUACGG
Molecule: ribosomal RNA, 2647 nt
Filed under: Triticum aestivum (bread wheat)
Lineage: Eukaryota; Viridiplantae; Streptophyta; Magnoliopsida; Poales; Poaceae
Description: partial small subunit ribosomal RNA
Source: RNAcentral